GUACAGCAGCAAGAAACUAAAAGGUUCGGACAUCACGUGCGACUUCCACCAAGCCACCUCAUUUGUCAGCCAUUUCUGAGGCAAAGUGCUGACGACCACAACUUUCCACAGGGCCGCUGCAAAAAACUUUAAGCCUCACUUGUAGCAUUAAGGCCAUUUCCAGGCGUUUUUGCUGUGAUUUCAGCUAACUGGCCCAGGUUCUUACGGAACUAGAAGGAAGCAGGAAAGUUGGGUUUAACUGAGCAAAUAUAUUUUAGCUUAUUAAUACAUUAGAAAGGUAUAAGUAGUGACCAUUAUACAAAUUAUAUUAAGAGCACAGGAUGUUAUCCCUCUUCCAGGUAUUUUAAGAGUGCCAGAGCAUAAACUCGUUUCAUGGGAUUAGAAGUGAAAAAAUAAGGGGAAGAAGGGGUGGGGGGGCAGAACCUACUAUGCAAAAUAGCUAAGUGAGAAAUUCCGGCUAAUUUUAAUCGAAAAACUUCAUAGACCAGUUGUAAUAUCAUGAAAAUGAUUCAAAAUGUAUUCCCGCGUGGGAGAAUGACAUUUUGAAUAUUUUCUAGAAAUCACACCGAAACUGUUACAGUUACAAGUAAUUAAAUUUAUUAGACCUCUAUAAUUUUUAUAGUCAGUUUUGGCCAAUUUACAGGUUUCUUGGGGAUCAUUUUUGGUUUAAACACACACACAUACAAAAAAAAAAGCAUCAUAAAUCGAGUUCACUUAUACAUCAACCCCUCCCCUAGCCCCGUCACAGCCACCUAAAAAAGGGGGAAGCCUCAGCUGCACACAGGCCGAGCAGCACACACACUACACUACAGCGAGAGCGUCAAACCGAUACAAGGCUGUGGUUUAUUCCGAUUACACGUCGUAAAAAGGGUCCGCCGGCGUCUCUGUACACAUGUAUAUAAUGUUACAUCCCACCACUGUAAAAAGCCCCCCCCGUCCCCCCCCCCCAGUGUCACUCCCCCAGCUUGCUGGGGGCUUUCUCCUGUCUGUGCAGGUCCUUCUCCUUCAGCAGCUGCAGGUUCUCGGCUCGCAACCUGUCCACCUCCAGCUCCAGGUACUCCUUGACCAGCUCCUGCUUGCUCAUGUUCUGCAGGCUCUCCACAUGGUACCGCUCGUAGGUCUCCGAGAAGUCCCUCUGCAGAAACUCGCUGCCGUCGCCCCCCAUGCCGUCGCUGCCGCCGUCCUCCUCGGCCGCCUCCUCCAGGAAGUCCUCCUCGCUCGUGUCGUCCGACUUGGCGGCCGCCCGCCGCGGGUACAGCCCGGUCUUGAGGUCGGGCUCCUCCUGGUCGUGGUCCUCCAUCAGGAACUGCGUCGUGUUGUAGGGGGCCACCGGCUGCCCCUUGGCGAACAUCUCGGCGCGGAGCCGCGAGGCGCGGAGGCUCUGCCGCUCGUCGAACUGCUGCUUCUCCUCCCAGCUCAGCUUCGAGUAGGGCUUCCAGCGCCGCUUCUUCUUCGACGGCCGCCGCCGGUGCUUCUUCUUGGCCGGCCACUCCUCGGCGCGCCCCACGG
This 1509-nucleotide long non-coding RNA is filed under the name Anser cygnoides (Swan goose). RNAcentral describes it as "lncRNA (ENSACDG00005012839.1)". The record is from RNAcentral. Lineage: Eukaryota; Metazoa; Chordata; Aves; Anseriformes; Anatidae.